GUGACUUAGUGGUAGAGUUCUUGGCUUAAAUGCAAAAGGCCCUGGGUUCGAUCCCCAGC
Molecule: transfer RNA, 59 nt
Filed under: Cavia porcellus (domestic guinea pig)
Lineage: Eukaryota; Metazoa; Chordata; Mammalia; Rodentia; Caviidae
Rfam family: tRNA
About the family: Transfer RNA (tRNA) molecules are approximately 80 nucleotides in length. Their secondary structure includes four short double-helical elements and three loops (D, anti-codon, and T loops).
Source: Rfam by way of RNAcentral